This 288-nucleotide unclassified non-coding RNA is filed under the name Hevea brasiliensis (rubber tree). Lineage: Eukaryota; Viridiplantae; Streptophyta; Magnoliopsida; Malpighiales; Euphorbiaceae. The record is from RNAcentral.
UUGCUGCGUAAUGAAUUCAAGGUCCCGAUCAUACUGCCCUCCGAUCAUAUAAGCUUCAAUAUAGCGCAAGCACUGAGCAGGAACGGUUCGCCACCCUCGCACAUUGUUGGCCUCCACCGCCAACCUCCAGCUCAGGCAAUAAUUAUUAUUUGCUGCAUCAGGCGUCAGGUUGGCCCUAGUGUAAGGCUUGAGGCCUGCCACCGCCUUAGAGAAUAUUGCUAAGAAGAAAAGCACCAUUAGCUCCUGCAAGCGCUGCGCCAUUGUGCUAAACAUAAUAGGCGUUUUUUC